CUGUUCGAGCGUCAUAAUGACCAACUCACGCUCCGCGUGGUCUUGGGGUCCGCUUCUGGGCGGCCCUUAAACGCAGUGGCGGUGCCGUGCGGCUCUCAGCGUAGUAAUUCUUCUCGCUACAGGGUCCGGACGGUGCUGGCCAGCAACCCCAACUACAUAAGGUUGACCUCGGAUCAGGUAGGGAUACCCGCUGAACUUAA
Molecule: unclassified non-coding RNA, 200 nt
Filed under: soil metagenome
Description: partial contains internal transcribed spacer 2 and large subunit ribosomal RNA
Source: RNAcentral